This 253-nucleotide ribosomal RNA is filed under the name uncultured bacterium. RNAcentral's name for it is "partial 16S ribosomal RNA". It matches the Rfam family "Bacterial small subunit ribosomal RNA", at positions 524 to 776 of the family's 1533-position model. The record is from RNAcentral.
UACGAAGGGUGCAAGCGUUACUCGGAAUUACUGGGCGUAAAGCGUGCGUAGGCGGUUUGUUAAGUCCGUUGUGAAAGCCCUGGGCUCAACCUGGGAAUUGCAGUGGAUACUGGCAAGCUAGAGUACGGUAGAGGAUGGUGGAAUUCCCGGUGUAGCGGUGAAAUGCGUAGAGAUCGGGAGGAACACCCGUGGCGAAGGCGGCCACCUGGACCAGUACUGACGCUGAGGCACGAAAGCGUGGGGAGCAAACAGG